Long non-coding RNA from Lepisosteus oculatus (spotted gar), 742 nucleotides. RefSeq lists it as uncharacterized. The record is from RefSeq and is a predicted model, not a curated record. Lineage: Eukaryota; Metazoa; Chordata; Actinopteri; Semionotiformes; Lepisosteidae.
UGAAGAUUAGGAAAAUUUGUGUUCGUCUCAGACUGCGAACUGGCCGAGACACCAGGGCCGCGAGACUUGAUCGGAAUGAUCGGAUCCCAUCAAUCAACACACCUGAUCAGCAGCACGGCGGCGGGCGGGCAAAAGCUUGUGAACAAAACUCGGGGUUUCCCCGCAAUUGGAUAGAGGCCAGGGGGGACGCCUGCCCAGAGUACCGUGUGAGCGCCGAUAACCUGUUCACAGAGAUCCAUGAUGAGACACUGUUUCGGAGAGGAGCGGACCACAGGCUGAUUUGCCAGCCGGCAGCCGCGAUGUAACGUCAGUGUUGAAGCCCUUGUAACAGAAUCCGCAGCUGUCCGUCAGGACCGGAGCCCGCCUCCAGAGUGACCUUCCUCAGCGGACACGCCCCGUCCACCUGUUCCACAGGUGCGCUCGGCAAGAUGGCGGCGGGACGAGCUGCUGCUGCUCGAGGACGCCGAAAUGAGUGCCCUGUCCGUUUGGGCGUGCUCUGGAAGUUUGAAAAGUGCCAAAAGGAUUUCAGGAACGGGAUACCAGUUAUGAAAAAGUGUUUUUUAACGUUCUGCGGCUCCUGAUCCUCAGCGCUCAGUCGAAAUCGUGUCCACUCCAGCAACUCGUCGUGCAUUGGCAAGUUAUUCUUGACAAUGUUGUAUCUUGCUCUUAAUAGGGAAUGUAGCUGACCAACGUCACGCUGUUGACUGCUGCUACUGUAUGUGCUGUGCAUUGUGAAAUAAAA